This is an unclassified non-coding RNA of Gorilla gorilla gorilla (western lowland gorilla), 112 nucleotides long. It matches the Rfam family "Y RNA". Rfam says of the family: Y RNAs are components of the Ro ribonucleoprotein particle (Ro RNP), in association with Ro60 and La proteins. The Y RNAs and Ro60 and La proteins are well conserved, but the function of the Ro RNP is not known. NCBI's taxonomy places the organism in Eukaryota, Metazoa, Chordata, Mammalia, Primates, Hominidae. The record is from Ensembl.
GGUUGGUCCAAAGGUAGUGAGUUAUCUCAACUGAUUGUUCAUGUCAGUUACAGUUCAAACUCCUUGUUCCGCUCUUUCCUCUCUUCUCACUACUGCCCUUGACUAGUCCCAA